UGCUGUGAGGAGGAUAUGGCUCCUAAAUUUGUCACCCAUUGACUGCCAGGGUUGAUUAGGCUGACCUCACUGGCUAGGCCUGCAUCCCUUCCUCCCACACCACUCCAUGCGCAUCCUCCUGGAACUGAGCUCUGGGUUAAAGAGGACCACCUUUCCUGAUAGAGGUGAUAGAAGAGGACCAUUCUUUGGAUGAGGAGGUAUAAGUCAGCACUCACCUGCUAGAACCUCCAAACAACUCUCAAAAAAUAUAAUGUAUGCUACAAAACUUCGAUUAAAAAAUGUAGCAGGGCUUAAAGGAAAAUAUACUCCAAAUGCAAACCAUUGCUAGGAAAUUU
RNAcentral lists this small nuclear RNA (335 nucleotides) under Nannospalax galili (Upper Galilee mountains blind mole rat). RNAcentral describes it as "7SK RNA (ENSNGAG00000009354.1)". It matches the Rfam family "7SK RNA". Rfam says of the family: 7SK was discovered as an abundant small nuclear RNA in the mid-70s but a possible function has only recently been suggested. Two independent studies have found that 7SK RNA binds the CDK9/cyclin T complex (known as elongation factor P-TEFb). Lineage: Eukaryota; Metazoa; Chordata; Mammalia; Rodentia; Spalacidae. The record is from RNAcentral.